CAUUUUGUUUAUGGUAGGGUGUUCUAAUGUCCAUAAUAGAUAUUGGUCUGUGUGUGUUGGUUUCCUGUAUGUGUUUAUGUUUAGGGUCUCGUCGGUCUGUCUGGUGAUUUUCAUAUCCAUAAAAGCUAUGCUGCUUUCUGCUUCUAACUCAUAAGUGUUGGGGUUAUUAGGUGAACGAAUAAUUUGUAAGCUUUUACUUACUUUUUGGACUCUUCAAUAAAUUCGUAAAUAUGGAAAUAUUUAUCGAUUUAUUAAUUAAUUAAGAUAUCCUUAGAUAUCUGCGGGGCACCACCCAUUCUAAUUAGAAAGGGAAAAUUAAUGAAUCCAAACCUCUGGUUAGUCUGUCUGAAGUUCGUAAAAUCUGUUUAGGAGCAGAGAUUUUCAGCCAACACACACAAAGUCGCUUGACACAAAACUGAACUUAACAACAUUUAUUAACCAACCUAUUUUAUCAAACAAACAACUACAAUAAUGAAUAAUAAUGAGAAAUAUUAUAUAUGUGAAAUAAUAAUCAAAAUGGAGUAUGUUGUGAAAACCCAAGAUGGCUGUGUAUAGGUGUGUGUGUGUGUGUGAUAAUGUCCAAAAUGGAGUCUGUAUGAAGGGGUUCUUUGUUCUGCUGACCACAAGGAUCAACUCUGUGGAAUGUGUAGGAGUGCAAACUGAGCUGACUUUCUCCUCAGUGAUGUGUCCUGAAAAGUUUCCUCAAACUUUCAGUUAGUGGCUUAACUUUCUAAAGCUUGAAACAAUGAUGUGGCAAACUUUCAUUUCACAGCAACUGAUGUCACACAGUUGAAUGUGUGUUUUCCUGUUGCUUUAAAUUAUUUUAUUAAUUGUUGGAAUUUCUUAACAGUUUUGUGUUAUUGCAUGAUUUUGUCGUGUGUUGUUGGUUUUAUGUGCCUGUUUAGUUUAUAUUGUUUUUGCCACUGUUGACAUGACAGUCACCUGAAGAGGUGGGCGUGACUGGGAGAGCGCACCAGGUGCGCAUAGUUAGCGGGCUGAUAAAGGGACGAAGCUGCAGAACUGCAGCAGGAGAGAGGAAAAAGAGACCAAAGAAACCCGAAGGGAGAGGGACUGGACUAAUAGGUGGACGUAGCACGGAACGCGUUGGAUCGCAGGAGGACCGGUUCAUCCCUGGCGUGCAGCGACAACGAGUGGGAGCAACGCCUUUGAAUGACAGCAGGACAGAGGUUGGACCUCUGCCUGCAUCCGGAGGAGCGGCGAGAGCCCCCGGGAGAGCACGCCUGAGACGAGUGCUUGCUGAGAGCGGGACCAGAGACUGCUGGAGUCGGACGCUGAAGCCGGGAUGCCACCUUUCCCAUCCUGUUCGUGACGUUGUGGAUCUGGGAGGAGCCCAACUAUCUUUUGGGGUCUUUUUGAAGAACGUUUUAAACUGUUUUUAUGGACUCAAACUUUUAGUUGUAUAUUUUAGACGGGCUUUUAUUUAGUUAAUAAAAGAGGUUGCAGGCAAACUUCUGCUCUCUGGUGUCUCUGUCCCUCUGGUUCUGCACCCUCGCUCCCCACCUGUGUCAUUGUGAACCCCUGUGUGACGCUGGAGCUCUGCCGCUCCGGCGUUGCCUAGGUUACACUUACUCAAAGGCAAAUGAGAAUAUCUUAACAAGAGUCUUUCAGCCUGGCCACAGCUGACAGACAUCGACCCAGAUAUUAAAUAAUCAAGGAAACAAAAACAGCUUACUCUUUAAAAUGCUCCAUGUGGCGUAUUUUGGUACGAAAGAGAAACCGAAGCUACUUUAAAACGAUCCGCGGUGUGAUCGCUUAUUUUUGGUCUAGAAGAGAUGGAAAAGAAGAAAGAUAGGAAAAAAAAACUUGCAGGAGCAAAACUCUUCUCUGAGCAACUCCAAGGCGUCCCUUGGAAAUCACGCUGAUUUGAUGGCUUUUUCCACUGUUUUCCCACAGAUCGGCGUCAUCCACUUCAAGCCGUUAGGCCUGUGCACAUGCUGUCCGGAGCGAUAGCAGAACGAGUGCGUCUUCACGGCCAGUGGAACUCUGAACAAAAGACAAAGAAGUCUCUUUUCGCUGUCCUUUCAUAGACUCCGCUGUCCAACGGGCUGGGACAUGCGCAGAACCCCUGCUCUCGGGGUUCGGCGGUGACAUCAUCACAUUGCUUCCGGGCGCAAAGCAUCAUGGGAAAUGAAGUGUCUCUUGGCGCUGAUGCUUAAAUAUGCUUUUCUGAGCAAUUUGGCACAGUCUUUUGGAGAAAAUCACUGCACAGUAAUUUGCUCAUGAGGGCAGACCCUCAACAUAAGUGAAUUUUAUGUUGCCCGUGUCGUCAAUGUUGUUUAAGUGUUGUGUUAGUGUUUCUGUUUGUCCUUUUGGUAUGAUUUCCAGUAUGUCAUCUAUGUAGCGUUUCCAUAGUUUGAUUUUGCAGUUUGGGGGCAGUGGCUAUGGCUUUUUGUUCUAGGUCUUCCAUGAAAAACUCGCACAGGGUGGUUGAUAACGGGUUACCCAUGGCGAAGCCUUCCAGUUGUUUGUAUAUUAUGUCAUUGUAUGUGAAGUAAGUGGAGUUAGCUACCAGUCCUAUCAGUAGUGCUAUGUCAUCUGCUGUGAGAUUUGUUCUUUUGUGUAAAGUCUUGUCCUGUCUGAUUCUGUUAACUACUAUGUCUAUGGUUUUUUGGGUUGGUGUUUUUGUGAACAGAGAUGUGACGUCAUGUGAGAUGAGUAUGUCGUUGUCUUCUAUUGUAAUUUAAAUUGAAAUGAAGAAGCCGGCAGCCGUCGGCGAAACUGUAGCGUCAAUUACAGGUAACAAAACCGUUUCUGUGUUUUAAAAAAGAACGACAACAUGGAACCUGCUCUACCUCCUGAGCUACUGCUGUCCCUUAAAAUAAGUUCAUAAGUUAUCCGCUCUAGUAAAACUGUGAAAACACUGCACCAAAUAACCUUAUAAUCUUCUGUCUUUUACUCCAAAUUACAUUUAUUCCAAAAUGUUCUUCCACCUUCUUUUCUUCAGAACCGUAUAUUUACUUAUUAAAAUAAAUACAUUUUUUUAAAAAGGAGGAAAAAUGUAAAACAAUUUAACUGUUGUUGAAUUUUAUAAGUUUUUCCAACUCUAACUUAUGGCUCAGUUCUUUUGAUCAUGUUUUUAAUCCCCAACUUUUUCGUGUUACUCACUAAUUACUGUGAAAUGUGAUUCUCUAGCUGAGUGGCUGCAGCCUCAAUUAAUGUGACUCUGCUUAUUCCUGCACAGCAGUGCUGGACUGACCAUAGGGCAUAGCGGGCAACUGCCCGCUGGGCCGACCCUUUCAUCUUUUAUGGGCCGGUGUCUGUUUUUUUUUUUUUUUUUUUUUUUUU
Molecule: long non-coding RNA, 3306 nt
Filed under: Nothobranchius furzeri (turquoise killifish)
Lineage: Eukaryota; Metazoa; Chordata; Actinopteri; Cyprinodontiformes; Nothobranchiidae
Description: lncRNA (ENSNFUG00015003388.1)
Source: RNAcentral